CAAACCGGCAUAUUCUAAUCGCACGCCGUGCUCGGUUGAGAAACCCCACGCAAAGAAUUCGAAAACCAACCGAAACGCUCGCGAUCUCUCAAUCGCUCCUCCUCCUCCUCCAUCUCCGGCGACCAAUUAUUGCGAUCCCCGACGCCAUUCGAGCAUCACCAACCCUAGAGAGAGUAAUCGAAGAAUCCCUCUUUUUAAAAGGUCGGCGAAUCAUUCCAACGGAUGCGGUAUCUUUUAUCUCGUUCUUUAUCGGAUUCUCGCGGGUCUCGUACGAAUCAGAGUUUUCUGAAACAUGACGCAUGAACCUUCUAAAAGGGUGGAAGAAGAUGCUACUUUGGUAGUAAGUUCAAUACACUCUUAAAUUCUCUUUUCUAGGCUGUAAUUGUAAAAAAAAACUUCUCGUUGCAUGGUUUCCUUAAAGUU
Molecule: long non-coding RNA, 423 nt
Organism: Asparagus officinalis (garden asparagus)
Lineage: Eukaryota; Viridiplantae; Streptophyta; Magnoliopsida; Asparagales; Asparagaceae
Exons: 3
Source: RefSeq, a predicted model, not a curated record